UUUGAUAUAAAAGAGUGGCAAUGAGUUUCUUGCUACUUCGUCUCUUUACGAAGCAGAAGUAGAUUCAAUAAGAAAAAAUAUUUCUUUGACAUUCAUAAGUGUAAUUUCCUUGACCUACAUUAAUAAAGUGAUGUUCAUUUGAUUUGUUACGGUUUACAGUUAUAAAGCUAUGACGUCAUCUAAAAAUUGUCAAAUGGUGCAACCCAACCUCAUUGUCCCUACAACCACCGAACGGUUUCUGUUACAUCAUCACCGCCGUCCAUUCUCUUGCAACACCAUAGGAAUCACAGGAGCGUUGCCGCCCUUUUAGUGUACCCGCUUUUUUGAAAGGUCUCAUGUCGUAUCGUCCCGGACACACCGCACAAGGAAGCUCAUUCCACAGCUUGGUUGUACAUAGAAGAAAGUUCCAUGAAAACCGCACUGUGUUGGAACGCCAUACAUCCAGAUCGUGGUGACGAUAUAUAUCUAUGUGGCGUGUCAAGCAAAGGUCGAGUUCGGCGGCAGGAACCAGGUUAAACAGCUCUUCGGAACACUAAUACCGUAAAACAUAAAUGCCGUAUAAGACACACAAUAAAGCGAUAUCUCUACGCAACGCCAAGUGAUCCAGCCGUUCUCAGAGCACUGGAUUCCCGAAAAGUUUCCACCUCUUGUCACUUCUCGUUAUCGCUAACGGUAGUACACAUGCCUUAUUAAUCAUUUCUUUCACGUCCUAACAUCAGCAUAUUAAUAUCUAAUUUAAUAUUAGUUUAGUGUUAAAACUACGAAUGUUUACUUAGUCUAUAUAGAUAUACCUACUUCAAUAUACAUAAUAUAAUUUACAAAAAUACUCAAGUAUUCACUUCUAAACCUUAUUUUGCAUUUAACUGAUACAAUUUUAGAUAAUUUAUACGUCUAGAUAGAGCCAGAGGCCGGCAACGCUCCUGUGAUUCCUCUGGUGUUGCAAGAGAAUGUGGGCGGCGGUGAUCACUUAACACCAGAUGACCCGUACGCUCUUUUGUCCUCCUAUUCCAUAAAAAAAUCUCAAAUUCGUAGGUAUUACUUUAGCAAUAAAUGACAGAGUGCGGGCGGAUUCUAGUAAAAUUUGCGGUAGUGGGAGGUUAUAUCCGCUGGUGAAAUCGGGUGCUGGUAUAAACCUGAACAGCUCCCCUGAGCACUCGCGUGAUAAUUGUGUAUUAGAUGUCACAUCUUUAUGUAACUUAGAGAAUUCUUUGCUCAUCCGUACCACGAAGCCAGCAUGAAUAAGGUAGAAAGAAGGCAUUAUAACGAAUUCAUAUGGGAAUUCCUAUUAUUUACGAUGACUUAUAAUAUGUGGCACAAUACUGACGGAUAUAUAAAUAAUAGAUUUCUAUUGGUUGUUUAAUACUAUAUUAUGGUACAUGAGAGCUAAGUUGCUCAUUAGCGACACCUAUGACGCUCUCCAAAAGCGUCACAGGCUUGGUUGGUGUGUCAUCUUAUCUGAAUAUGUCGUCUUAAGCACAACAUCCCUAGUAUAUUAUAAUACAAGUGAGCUAAGUUGCUCAUUAUAUAUGAGGCUGUGGUUUGCAGCACGAGCCGUAGUCGAGGGCGUAAAUCCGCCGAGUGUCUAGUGAGCAACUUGCCUACAAGUUUCAUACUCACUUUAUCAACACACUUGCGAGGUUUUCCUCGUGUUUGUUUUUUAACAAACAUUUAUUUACCACACAGAAAUGGCGCGCAAGAUUUUUCUGCACGCGCCAAAUGUAAGGUUGAGAGCUUAUUUCAAAAUUAUAAGUUUAGUUAUUCAAAAUUUGAUAGUAAUAAAUGUUUUUUCGUCUUAACUAUGGACACGUAAUUCUUUAUUCCCAGAAUGUAAAUGGAUUUUCAGCGCCAUAAAACCUCAUUGUUGUUACAAAAUAACUGUAUUACCCGGUUAAAUUGAAAAUAUUCCGUAUACUCUCAUAUAAGUUGCAGUUAGGUGCUAACUUAACUUUGUAGGGAUAAUUCUAUUAUGCACUACUUAGUGUGCUAUAAUUCGGUUUAUGGCCUUAAGAACUAUUCAAUAAGGCUCUCUUUAUGAGCAAGUGUGUUAAAAAACACUUUAUCAUGUACAAUUUAGACUAUGGUUCUCAAUUCCAAAGGUCAUUUUACUGUGUCACAGAUUAAAAUUUAUUAAGUGGGAAUUUAAGUAUGUUUCACACUGCAAGCUGGAACGUCGACAUUUAUAUUUUUUGUUCCUUUUCCUUUUGUUUCUUCCUGCUUGAAAAAGAGUUAUCAAGGACAGUUUGAAAUGUGUUAUUCGAACAUAUGGCUGGUACGUUCAUUUAAGCAGGACAUUACUUCACCUGUUUUACUUAUGUUUACUUAUAGAUAAAAUUUAUAUAUGUUUUUUAUUGUUUCUAUGAUCAUAUUGUGUUUAGUAAAAUAUCAUAAAAAUCAUAGUUUUAUAAUUAGAUAGUUAAUUAUUAACGUUAUUUAAUUUAUUCAUGUAAAAUAAUGAUAAAAACGUGUGCUUCUAGAUAAUAAUGUCCAUAACGUCUGACUACCACUUUGCAAUAAAGUUAUUGAUGAUUAAAUAUUUCAUGAAUUAAAA
This is a long non-coding RNA of Leptidea sinapis, 2548 nucleotides long. RefSeq lists it as uncharacterized. The transcript is spliced from 2 exons. NCBI's taxonomy places the organism in Eukaryota, Metazoa, Arthropoda, Insecta, Lepidoptera, Pieridae. The record is from RefSeq and is a predicted model, not a curated record.